CCGCAAGGUUAAAACUCAAAUGAAUUGACGGGGGCCCGCACAAGCGGUGGAGCAUGUGGUUUAAUUCGAUGCAACGCGAAGAACCUUACCUACUCUUGACAUCCAGAGAACUUAGCGGAGAUGCUUUGGUGCCUUCGGGAACUCUGAGACAGGUGCUGCAUGGCUGUCGUCAGCUCGUGUUGUGAAAUGUUGGGUUAAGUCCCGCAACGAGCGCAACCCUUAUCCUUUGUUGCCAGCGGUUCGGCCGGGAACUCAAAGGAGACUGCCAGUGAUAAACUGGAGGAAGGUGGGGAUGACGUCAAGUCAUCAUGGCCCUUACGAGUAGGGCUACACACGUGCUACAAUGGCAUAUACAAAGAGAAGCGACCUCGCGAGAGCAAGCGGACCUCAUAAAGUAUGUCGUAGUCCGGAUUGGAGUCUGCAACUCGACUCCAUGAAGUCGGAAUCGCCAGUAAUCGUAGAUCAGAAUGCUACGGUGAAUACGUUCCCGGGCCUUGUAA
Molecule: ribosomal RNA, 500 nt
Filed under: uncultured bacterium
Lineage: Bacteria
Description: bacterial SSU rRNA
Rfam family: Bacterial small subunit ribosomal RNA
Source: RNAcentral